UUUUUUAAUAAAUUCAUCUUGUGAGGAAGUUUUUUAACAUGAUUCUUUUUAAAGAAAGGGGAAAAGAUAAUCAGUUAACCUCAGUUUUAUAGGGCAAAGGUCUUAUGAAAAUGCUGCUGGAAGCAACUGAAGCUAGCUAACUGCAUUCUCUGCUCCUUCCCUGGCUUAUCGGCCUUUGGAAAAUACAUUUGCGAUUCGUAGUGGCUGGCUGAGGAAAAACUUAAUUUGAAGUGAAAUUUAUAUUCUUCCGAGUGAUUGGAUUCCAAAGAGGGCCAUGUAACAACAACUACAGUUCUGUGCAGUUGCCUUCCAUCAUGUAUUCAGCUGCCACAGCUUUUUCUUAGUUCUUAGUGUUCUUGAAACUUUAUUCUUUAGGCAUUGGUGUUCUUUGAUUGUUUAUCUUGAUGCUCCUUGAUUAUUCAGUCUCCUUUUUUCCUGUUCUUUUUCUUUUUCCUGAAGAUAUAGAUUUUGUGUAUGGGCAUGGUUCCCUUCAGUAAUUAUUAUCAUUUACUGUCCUUGGAAUUUUUAUUUUAAAAAAGAAUAAUUGAAGAAGAAGGAAAAAGAAGAAAUGUAUAAUAAAUAUAUAACAUUCAGCAAUUUUCCAGAUGUGUUUUUGUGGAUGCUGGAGU
Molecule: unclassified non-coding RNA, 629 nt
Filed under: Hevea brasiliensis (rubber tree)
Lineage: Eukaryota; Viridiplantae; Streptophyta; Magnoliopsida; Malpighiales; Euphorbiaceae
Source: RNAcentral